Molecule: small RNA, 141 nt
Filed under: Arabidopsis thaliana (thale cress)
Lineage: Eukaryota; Viridiplantae; Streptophyta; Magnoliopsida; Brassicales; Brassicaceae
Description: ATSL308240
Source: RNAcentral
UUAGUUUAAGUGUUAAAUUUUUAAAACGUCGGAAAUUAACCGUGCCUAGGCAUCCCGUCCUUAAUUGGUCCGUAAGUCAUGCGGUGUUCGAAGUUCGGCAAUGUUUUCACGUAAUAUUGAUUUGACACUUAAACUCAUUUU